CAGCACCCAUGGGUCCAACUUACUUGGGAGCUUUGCUACCGCUACUGCUGCCGCAGCCCACCUGCCGCCGCCGGCCAUCGCCCUCGCGGCCUCGCACAUCUCGCCCGGCCCAACCCGCGCUGCCGUAACACCAUCCGCCUCAUCUCCACUGCUACCCUCAGGGCCUCAGAUGCGCCUCCCCGCGUCCGCCCAGAGCGGCAGAGCCCCCACGGCCGGGCGGGCGCCGCCGGACCUUAUCCGCGCCAGGCCGGGGCGGGCGCCGCCGGAUCUCCUCCCCUCCCUACCCGGCUGCCAUCAAACUUCGCCUGCUCCACCCAGUGCCCCGUAUCUCUAUCCUCCUCAGAUCCACCUCGUCUGCCACGGCUUGCAACGAGGUGCCCCCGGUCUGCUCGAGGAGGGAGGCCGGCCGGCGUCCGCGGCAUGCCACGAGGAGCAGUCGUCGCGGCACGGGGACGCACCCCACCCUGUCCAGCAGCGAUGCGCGGCCGCUCUCGCUUACCGGCCUCCGGUCAGACGGCCACGACCCGCUGGCCGCAUCUCGGCCACCACCAUGGGCCGCAUCUCCCCUCCGCCACACAUAGAAGCUAAGUGAGUGCACUAGAUUAGUUCCUAGUAGCCUCCUGAAGGGAAAUUUUCUGGCUCUAGAUUACACAAUUGACAUGGUCAGAUCACUGGGAUCGCGAGAAGGUAUGCUGCUAUGUGAAAAGGAUGGAUUAAAAGGAUGCUUACCUAGACUUGACUAAUGCAGUUGCUACUGGUGUUCUUGUGCCCAACUCUUGUGAGAAGAUGCAGGGACGAAGGUCAAGUACUUGAAGAACUAGAUUGGCCUAGUGAUGGUACUGCUUGGAAGGUAACGGCUGCAAAUUGCAUGCUUUUGCUGUUAGUUUCUUGUACAGUACGUGAUUUUGAUUGAAGUUCCAUGGUACAACAUUGUGAGAUGUGUUGGAUUAAAACCUAAAUUAGAUUGUGAUUUCAUGAUGAAUGGUUACUUAUGUUGAUUGUAUGUAUGUGAUGAGAUGUUGGAUCAGAAAUUAUUUCAUGUGAUCAAAUGUUUAAUAUGUUGUGUA
Setaria italica (foxtail millet) is the source of this 1067-nucleotide RNA transcript. RefSeq lists it as uncharacterized. Lineage: Eukaryota; Viridiplantae; Streptophyta; Magnoliopsida; Poales; Poaceae. The record is from RefSeq and is a predicted model, not a curated record. The transcript is spliced from 4 exons.